UAUUAAAAAUUUCAUCCACUUAUGCUGUUAAAAACAGGUGUGGCUAACGAAAUAACUAGACAGUGCCACACGUAUACCUCAUGCUGAUGUAUAGGGACCAUUUUUUAAUAAUAGAAAUGGAUGGAAUUUUUAACC
Gossypium arboreum is the source of this 135-nucleotide non-coding RNA. NCBI's taxonomy places the organism in Eukaryota, Viridiplantae, Streptophyta, Magnoliopsida, Malvales, Malvaceae. The record is from Rfam.